GGUCAGGAUGAACGCUGGCGGCGUGCUUAACACAUGCAAGUCGAACGGAGUUUUAACGGAAGUUUCGGAUGGAAGUUUAAAAACUAGUGGCGGACGGGUGAGUAACGCGUGGGUAACCUGCCUCAUACAGGGGGAUAACAGUUAGAAAUGACUGCUAACACCGCAUAAUAUAGCGAAACCGCAUGAUUUUGCUAUCAAAUAUUUAUAGGUAUGAGAUGGGCCCGCGUCUGAUUAGCUAGUUGGUGGGGUAAAAGCCUACCAAGGCGACGAUCAGUAGCCGGCUUGAGAGAGUGACCGGCCACAUUGGGACUGAGACACGGCCCAAACUCCUACGGGAGGCAGCAGUGGGGAAUAUUGGACAAUGGGGGAAACCCUGAUCCAGCGAACCGCCGCGUGAGUGAAGAAGUAUUUCGGUAUGUAAAGCUCUAUCAGCAGGGAAGAUAAUGACAGUACCUGACUAAGAAGCCCCGGCUAACUACGUGCCAGCCGCUGC
RNAcentral lists this ribosomal RNA (493 nucleotides) under uncultured bacterium. RNAcentral describes it as "bacterial SSU rRNA". It matches the Rfam family "Bacterial small subunit ribosomal RNA", at positions 22 to 518 of the family's 1533-position model. The record is from RNAcentral.